This 496-nucleotide ribosomal RNA is filed under the name uncultured bacterium. Its description in RNAcentral is "partial 16S ribosomal RNA". It matches the Rfam family "Bacterial small subunit ribosomal RNA", at positions 28 to 506 of the family's 1533-position model. The record is from RNAcentral.
GAUGAACGCUGGCGGCGUGCCUAAUACAUGCAAGUCGAGCGAACAGAUGAGGAGCUUGCUCCUCUGACGUUAGCGGCGGACGGGUGAGUAACACGUGGAUAACCUACCUAUAAGACUGGGAUAACUUCGGGAAACCGGAGCUAAUACCGGAUAAUAUAUUGAACCGCAUGGUUCAAUAGUGAAAGACGGUUUUGCUGUCACUUAUAGAUGGAUCCGCGCCGCAUUAGCUAGUUGGUAGGGUAACGGCUUACCAAGGCAACGAUGCGUAGCCGACCUGAGAGGGUGAUCGGCCACCCUGGACCUGAGCCCCGGUCCAGACUCCUACGGGAGGCAGCAGUGGGGAAUCUUCCGCAAUGGGCGAAAGCCUGACGGAGCAACGCCGCGUGAGUGAUGAAGGUCUUCGGUUCGUAAACCUCUGUUAUUAGGGAAGAACAAAUGUGUAAGUAACUAUGCACGUCUUGCCGGUACCUAAGCAGAAAGCCCCGGCUACCUACGU